Molecule: ribosomal RNA, 3546 nt
Filed under: Clydonella sp. ATCC 50884
Lineage: Eukaryota; Discosea; Flabellinia; Vannellidae
Description: eukaryotic LSU rRNA
Rfam family: Eukaryotic large subunit ribosomal RNA
Source: RNAcentral
AAUUUUGCAUCAAAUAAAGUUUGAUUACCUACUGAAUUUAAGCAUAUUAAUAAGUAGAGGAAAAGAAAUUAAAAAAGAUAAGUUUAGUAAUGGCGAAUGAAGAACUUUGAGUUCAAAUUUAAAAUCUCAUUCUUCCUGAGAGGGGUGAGAAUUGUAGUUUUGGGUUCGUUGUUUUGAGGGCACACAUGUGUAUAAAGUUCUUUGGAAAAAGACAACCGAGAAGGUAAUAUUCCUGUGCAUGUAUACAUGUGGGUCACAACACAACAGCGAAUGUAGAGUCGAAUUGUUUGAGAUUGCAAUUUCAAGUAGGAGGUAUAUUUCUUCUAAAACUAAAUACAGGCAAAAGACCGAUAGCGAACAAGUACUGUGAAGGAAAGAUGAAAAGAACUCUGAAAAGAGAGUGAAAAGGAAUUGAAAUUGUUAAGAAGGAACGGAAAGAACAAAUGAAUUAUCGAGUUGUGUUUCUCGUUCGCGCUUGCGCAAAGCGGGAUAAUGACUUGAUAGCAUAUGAUGGAUUGCUGUGAGAUGAAAAGGCUGCGUAUCUGAUUCUCGGCUGCUUGUUCACUCAAGGAGAAGGGGAUAGGACGUGGAGAUAGUUUCACGGUGAUUGCGGAGAAAAUCGCAGUUGCAAGUAACCCUGGCAAUGUGCAGCUGUGUUGCGUUCGUAUUCAAAAGAAUAAGGGCGUGGCAUGGAGGUGCGUUUGUUGGUGGAGCUUACUCAGUGCGGUGAAAAUCAUAGAGUACAUUUGUUUUUUUUACUCGUCUUGAAACACGAACCAAGGAGUUUAAUUUGUGUGUGAGUUUUUUAUUUUUGCUAAAAAUAAAGGACGCAAUGAAAGUGAAUAAGUUUUUUAACGCUGCUACUGAUGGUGGCGGAAAGAAAAGGUAUUUCUAAUUUUGUAUCGUGGCUCGCACUGCGAUUAAGAAAUUAGAAGAUAACAAAAAUACACAAUUUAAAACCCGAAAUCUGGUGAUCUAUGCAUGAUUAACGUGAAGUUAGAAGAAAUUCUAAUGGAAGCGUGAAUUCAUUUUGACGUGCAAAUCAAUGAAGAGAAUUGUGUAUAGGGGCGAAAGACUAAUCGAACCAGAUUGUAGCUGGUUUCCUCCGAAGUUUCUCUUAGGAUAGCUGAAGUUCAUGAUGAUAGUUUUAAACAGUAAAGAUAAUGAUUAGAAGGUUAGUGGAAAUUGAAGUAUUCUACACUUAUUCUCAAACUUUAAAUGUUUAAGAUAAAGCGCAUUACCGAAAGGAAUGCGUUUUCGAGAAUAGCGAACUUUUAGUGGGCCUUGUUUGGUAAGCAGACUGGGCGAUGUAGGAUGAACUAAACGUCAAGUUAAAAUGUCAGAAUAGGUAUACGCAUAAAGAAACCAUAAAAGGUGUUGUUCAAUAUAGACAGCAUGACGGUGAUCAUGGAAGUAGAGAUCCGCUAAGAAGUGUGUAACAACUUACAUGUCGAAUUGAAUAGCCCUGAAAAUGGAUGACGCUAAGUAUAGGAAUAUUUAGACUUGACCUUCUGUGUUGUAGACGGAUGCUACACAGAAGAGUAGGAGGAUAUGUUUUUAGUGGCGAAGCAUCUCUGUGAGGGGGUGUGGAACUGAAAAUAGUGCAGAUCUUGGUAAUAGUAGCAAAUAUUUAAUUGAGAAAAUUAAAGAUUGAAGAAGAAAAUGGUUCCUCAAGAAGUGUAAUACGUUGAGGGUGAGUCGAUUUUAAGGAGAAAAUUGAGAUAGAUUGAAAUGCGUACUAUUCAUCCAAUGGAGAGUAUGUGAAUCCAAAAAAGAAACAGGUUAAAAUUCCUGUACUUGAACAAGGGUUUCGUUUAGAAAAUGGCGACAUAAAAUUCAUUUGAAGAUAUUAAUGGACAAUUUGUCAAGAGAUUUCUUUUCUUGUUAAUAAUCGAAGCGUGCUUGCAUGCGUCAAAAAUUACUCUGAAAUUGAAUCACUCAGAGAAAGAGUAAUUGGGAUUAAAAAAAUAUACCUCACUUUUUAAAGGUAUAUACAAAUUUGUCCAGUAAUCCAUGAAAAUUCAAAGAAUUGAUUUUUUUUGCAAAAGAAAAAGAACUGCUUGUUAAAUCGUACAAAUAACCGCAACAGGUUUCUAAGGUUAAGAACCUCUAAUUUGAAAGAAAAAUGUAGAAAAGGGAAGUCGACAAAAUAGACUUGUAACUUUGGGAGAAAAGUUGGCUCUGAAGGUAGGAGGGGUGGAAGUAUAGUGCAGGAAGCGAUUCGGCUCGGGGUUGCUCGAGACGAGUUUGAUGUAAUGAUUACUCUUCGGGGGAAAGUUGAAAAACUCGUUUUAGGCAAUUCCAACGGCUGGAAAGUGGAGCGUACUAUGAGACGGUCAUGGAGCGCUUGCGUGAAAUGAAAACUCAUAAUGGAAACCCCAACGUCAAUGCUUUAACGAGUAGGGACACAUAUCUAUCAAUUCAGAACUGUUACAAUCUAAUGGAAUCCGACUGUUUAAUUAAAACAGAGCUUUCUGAUAGUCUCUUAGAGAUGUUUACAGAAAGUGAAUUCUGCUCAGUGCUCUGAAUGUUAAUCUGAAGAGAUUCAAGUAAGCGCGAGUCAACAGCGGAAGUAACUAUGACUUUCUUAAGGUAGCCAAAUGCCUCGUCGUCUAAUUAGCGACGUGCAUGAAUGGAUCAACGAGAUUCCAAUUGUCCCUUUCUACCAUCUUGCGAAACUGCAGCGAAGGGAACGGACUUCGUAAAUACAUUGGGGAAAGAAGACCCUCUUGAGCUUGACCGUAAGCUGAGUUUGUGAAGUGUUUUCGAAGGUGUAGCGUAGGUGGGAGCUUUCGGGCGACAAUGAAACACCACUACUUCGACAAAUACUUCACUUAGAAAAUUGAUUGUUAAGAUAUAUUCGUUUUCGUGAUGGGUAUUGUAUUCUUCCAACAUAAAGCCUGCAGUUCACUGCGGGUGAGACAUAUUUUCAACAUUCUUAGCUGGGCAGUUUGGCUGGGGCGGCAUACUUUCUAAAAAAUAACGAAAGUGUCCAAAGAUGAACUCCACUAGAACAGAAAUCUAGUUUUGAAGAAAAGGCUAAAAGUUUGUUUAAAAUUAAUUUUCAGUAAGAAUUAGUUUGAUGAAAGUCAGGCCUAUCGAUCCUUUUUGUGUUUGAAAAUAUCAAAAAAGAGGUGUCAGAAAAGUUACCAAAGGGAUAACUGGCUUGUGGCGGCUAAGCGAUCGAAGCGACGCCGCUUUUUGAUUCUUCGAUGUCGGCUCUUCUUACCAUUUUGAAGCAGAAUUCAAAAAGUGUUAGAUUGUUCACCUAUUAAAAAGGAACGUGAGCUGGGUUUAGACCGUCGUGAGACAGGUUAGUUUUACCCCUGUGUAUAAGAGGGUUUUUAGGACUAGUAAAGUGAAGGACAUCAUAAAAGUAAUGUGCUCCAGUACGAGAGGAACCAGCACAUCAAGCCUAUAGUAAUGCGUUUGUUCGACAGAACAGUGACGCAAAGCCACGCUUGUGAGAUAAAACCUGAACGCCUCUUAAGGUUGAAUCUUUGCUCGAAAUAAUGAUGUCGCGUAUGUUACCAUUGGGAUGCUUGU